AUGUUGUCUGCACUCCUAUCCAGGUAUAGGCGUCUGAGGCAAUCUUUCUUCUCUUUAAUCGCCUUCUGGACAUCAUCAUUCCACCACCAGGUAUUCUUAUCUCCGCUUCUCCUUCCCUUGGACACUUCAAACUCCUCCGAGGCCACCUUACGGAUGCAAGUCGCCAUCUUCAUCCACACAUUGUCCGCAUCCCCUCCUUCCUCCCAAGGGCCCUACUUAAUGACCCUCUCCUUGAGCGCCCGAGCUACCACCCCCUUGAGCUUCCACCACUUUGUUCUAGCGACUUUGGCAUGCUUAUCCCGCUGGACAUGA
Molecule: ribosomal RNA, 312 nt
Filed under: Triticum aestivum (bread wheat)
Lineage: Eukaryota; Viridiplantae; Streptophyta; Magnoliopsida; Poales; Poaceae
Description: partial small subunit ribosomal RNA
Source: RNAcentral